Non-coding RNA from Ictidomys tridecemlineatus (thirteen-lined ground squirrel), 479 nucleotides. The record is from RefSeq and is a predicted model, not a curated record. NCBI's taxonomy places the organism in Eukaryota, Metazoa, Chordata, Mammalia, Rodentia, Sciuridae.
UCUCUGAGGCUAGUCCAGGCCCGGCCCAGUUUUGCUGAGUUGCAGGCUUGGCGAAACUGAUAUCUUUUACAGCAAGUGUUGCCUUUGUUCAUGCUCCACAACUCCUCGAAAGGGUGUUGGUUGUAGCCAUCUGGAGGUAUCCCGACACACUAAGAGUUAGGAAGCCUCCAAGGACUCUUGGUGAGCAUGAGGAGGUACCUGAGGGCUAUCUGUGUGGAAGACGAAGCUGGUACCCCCAAAGACAGAACACAGACACAGAGCAAAACAGUUUAUCUGGACUGCGGCAAGUGGUGGCCCAUACGGGGAACUCCAGGACGCUCGGGGGUAAGUGACAAGGUAAGCUGCCCAUCCCUAGAAAUAGAUAGAACGGGAGGAAAGCUGCUCACCCCUGAGGAACAGAUAGGGCGAGAGGACAGAUGGCCAUUUCAAGAAAAUAGAAAAAUGAUAUAAUGUGUUUUUGUUUCAUGUUAUCUUAGUAU